RNAcentral lists this ribosomal RNA (497 nucleotides) under Veillonella parvula. Its description in RNAcentral is "bacterial SSU rRNA". It matches the Rfam family "Bacterial small subunit ribosomal RNA", at positions 28 to 494 of the family's 1533-position model. Lineage: Bacteria; Bacillati; Bacillota; Negativicutes; Veillonellales; Veillonellaceae. The record is from RNAcentral.
GACGAACGCUGGCGGCGUGCUUAACACAUGCAAGUCGAACGAAGAGCGAUGGAAGCUUGCUUCUAUCAAUCUUAGUGGCGAACGGGUGAGUAACGCGUAAUCAACCUGCCCUUCAGAGGGGGACAACAGUUGGAAACGACUGCUAAUACCGCAUACGAUCUAAUCUCGGCAUCGAGGAUAGAUGAAAGGUGGCCUCUACAUGUAAGCUAUCACUGAAGGAGGGGAUUGCGUCUGAUUAGCUAGUUGGAGGGGUAGCGGCCCACCAAGGCGAUGAUCAGUAGCCGGUCUGAGAGGAUGAACGGCCACAUUGGGACUGAGACACGGCCCAGACUCCUACGGGAGGCAGCAGUGGGGAAUCUUCCGCAAUGGACGAAAGUCUGACGGAGCAACGCCGCGUGAGUGAUGACGGCCUUCGGGUUGUAAAGCUCUGUUAAUCGGGACGAAAGGCCUUCUUGCGAAUAGUGAGAAGGAUUGACGGUACCGGAAUAGAAAGCCAC